This 72-nucleotide transfer RNA is filed under the name Camelus bactrianus (Bactrian camel). It matches the Rfam family "tRNA". Rfam says of the family: Transfer RNA (tRNA) molecules are approximately 80 nucleotides in length. Their secondary structure includes four short double-helical elements and three loops (D, anti-codon, and T loops). Further hydrogen bonds mediate the characteristic L-shaped molecular structure. tRNAs have two regions of fundamental functional importance: the anti-codon, which is responsible for specific mRNA codon recognition, and the 3' end, to which the tRNAs corresponding amino acid is attached (by aminoacyl-tRNA synthetases). tRNAs cope with the degeneracy of the genetic code in two manners: having more than one tRNA (with a specific anti-codon) for a particular amino acid; and 'wobble' base-pairing, i.e. permitting non-standard base-pairing at the 3rd anti-codon position. Lineage: Eukaryota; Metazoa; Chordata; Mammalia; Artiodactyla; Camelidae. The record is from Rfam by way of RNAcentral. RNAcentral also lists the same sequence under 1 other name.
UGGGGUGUAGCUCAGUGGUAGAGUGCUAUGCUUGAAUGCGUGGGGUCCUGGGUUCAAACCCCAGUACCUCCA